Molecule: ribosomal RNA, 1394 nt
Filed under: Ceratomyxa scophthalmi
Lineage: Eukaryota; Metazoa; Cnidaria; Myxozoa; Bivalvulida; Ceratomyxidae
Description: Ceratomyxa sp. n. CTG-2020 SSU rRNA
Rfam family: Eukaryotic small subunit ribosomal RNA
Source: RNAcentral
CGGGUACCGGGGAAUGAGGGUUCGAUUCCGGAGAGGGAGCCUGAGAGACGGCUACCACAUCCAAGGAAGGCAGCAGGCACGCAAAUUACCCACUCCACCACGGUGGGAGGUAGUGACGAGGAAUAGUGGGGUCACUCUGGUAGAGUGUCGCCCGUAAUGAACGCAGGCCAAGGAUAACGGUGAUGUGCUACUGGAGGGCAAGUCUGGUGCCAGCAGCCGCGGUAAUUCCAGCUCCAGUAGUGUAUAUCAACAUUGUUGUGCUUAAAACGCUCCUAGUUGGGUUGGAGGUGUGAGAGCAGGGCGACCUGCGAGCCGUCUACUGCUUGACGGUGGUAGAUGGCGACGCCUCUAUGGCCGGGUCGAGUGUCACUUUGGUUAGUGGCACACCGGGCCGGCCGCGGGCCUUGAGUAAAAGAUGGUGUCCAAAGCAGGCAGGUGCCGGCGUAAAAUAGCAUGGAACGAAUAGAGGCGGCCUCUAGGGGUAGAGGGCUGCGAGGUCAAGAGGGCCGCUUGCGGGCACUGGUACUUUGGGGCGAGAGGUGAAAUUCUUAGACCCUCAAAAGACGGGCGGGUGCGAAGGCGUUUGUCAAGGGCGUUUUCAUUGAUCAAGAACGAAGGUCAAAGGAUCGAAGACGAUCAGAUACCGUCCUAGUUUUGACGGAAAACGAUGCCAGCGGGGCGGCGGCGUGAGAGGUCUCUGGCGUCUCACGGCGCGGCCCAAGGGAAACCGAGCCUCCGGGCUGCUGGGAGAGGUAUGGUCGCAAGACUGAAAUUUAAAGAAAUUGACGGAGAGGCACCACCAGGAGUGGAGCUUGCGGCUUAAUUUGACUCAACACGGGGAAACUCACCGGGGCCUGACAGCGCGAGGAUUGACAGAGUGCGGAUCUUUCACGAUUCGUUGGAUGGUGGUGCAUGGCCGUUCUUAUUUGGUGGAGUGAUCUGUCAGGUCGAUUCCGGUAACGAGCGAGACUGCGGUCUUCAUUUCUCGUUGGUUGGCGUCCGCCGUUUGGGCCAGCUAGUUUAAACUAGUGACCUCGGCAGCGGUCAACAGCCGAUGGAGAGACAACUGGUGCAAGCCGGCGGAGGCGCAGCAAUAACAGGUCUGUGAAUGCCCUUCAAUGUCCCGGGCUGCACGCGUGCUACAAUGCGAGCCGAAGAGGGCUGCUGGCCCGACAGGGCGGGCGAAGCGGCAAUGGCUCGCGCGAUGGGGAUUGAGCCUAGUAACCGUUGCUCAUGAAAGAGGAAUUCCUCGUAGGCACAAGUCACCAGCUUGUGUCGAAUACGUCUCUGCCUCUUGUACACACCGCCCGUCGCUACUACCGAUCGAGUUGGUUCCAGAGCGGGCCGGAGCGCGAGGCCCUCGUCUCUUGGUGAGGGGCUAGCGUCAAGGCCGA